CUAAUGGUGUCUUUAGACACCACCCUUUGUUUUCUAUAUUUUUUGU
Non-coding RNA from Picea glauca (white spruce), 46 nucleotides. The record is from Rfam. NCBI's taxonomy places the organism in Eukaryota, Viridiplantae, Streptophyta, Pinopsida, Pinales, Pinaceae.